CACCGAUGAAUAACCUCCAUCCUGUAUAUUCCAACCAAUUCUCCUGGAAAGAUAACUCCUUUUAUCCAAGGCGUAUUAACAAGGUUCUGGUGAAGAUAAUUCAUAUUGUUCAAAAUAAACAAUUCGAGGUAAUUGUGAUUAUAAACUUCCCAUGGAAAUUCCUUCGAUUUUUUGUAACGGGGCUAACAAAACAACUUAAACUUGAACUCUGGCAGGUCACCUAUAUAUUUGAUAUUCCCAAAAUAAAUCCCAAUUAAUGUAACGAGAGCAUCAUCGAGUUGUAGUACGCUAAAGUUUAUUAAAAAAAUCUAGAAUGAAAUUCUUCACGAAUCUCUCAAUUUUACUCGUUUUCCUAUCAUUUUGUUGGGUAAACUGUGGAGUGAUAUCGCCUUAUAGAAAUUGCGACCCAACUUUGUGUAGCAGGAUGAGAUGCUACAGGGUGGAUGAAUCUGUAUGUGACAAGAACAGCGAAGUUUUUGUUCCAAGGGAUGGAAUCUGUCAUUGCUGCGAUAGCUGUAUGUCUAUAGACAAGUUUUUGGGAAUGAGAGAUUCAUACAGCUGACUGACUU
Molecule: long non-coding RNA, 569 nt
Organism: Coccinella septempunctata (seven-spotted ladybird)
Lineage: Eukaryota; Metazoa; Arthropoda; Insecta; Coleoptera; Coccinellidae
Exons: 2
Source: RefSeq, a predicted model, not a curated record